Molecule: unclassified non-coding RNA, 377 nt
Filed under: uncultured Pseudomonadota bacterium
Lineage: Bacteria; Pseudomonadati; Pseudomonadota
Description: uncultured proteobacterium contains 16S-23S intergenic spacer region
Source: RNAcentral
UCCGGCUUAACGCCGGCAGUCUCCUUAGAGUGCCCAACUGAAUGCUGGCAACUAGGGACGUGGGUUGCGCUCGUUGCCGGACUUAACCGAACAUCUCACGACACGAGCUGACGACAGCCAUGCAGCACCUGUCUCCCGGUCUCUUACGAGAAAACACCGUCUCCGGUGCGGUCCAGGGAUGUCAAGGGUUGGUAAGGUUCUGCGCGUUGCGUCGAAUUAAACCACAUGCUCCACCGCUUGUGCGGGCCCCCGUCAAUCCCUUUGAGUUUCAGCCUUGCGGCCGUACUCCCCAGGCGGGGCACUUAAUGCGUUAGCGCCGGCACCCAGGGGGUCGCUCCCCCAGGCACCUAGUGCCCACCGUUUACGGCGUGGACUAC